UACAGAGGUCUCGAGCGUUGUUCGGAUUUACUGGGCGUAAAGGGAGCGUAGGCGGUUUGGUGUGUCGAAUGUGAAAGCCCGGGGCUCAACCGGGGAGGGUCGCGCGAAACGGGCCGACUGGAGGCAAGGCGAGGGCGGUGGAAUUCCCGGUGUAGUGGUGAAAUGCGUAGAGAUCGGGAGGAACACCAGAGGCGAAGGCGGCCGCCUGGACUUGACCUGACGCUGAGGCGCGAAGGCGUGGGGAGCGAACGGGAUUAGAUACCCCGGUAGUCCCUGAGCGGGCUGGCAAGG
RNAcentral lists this ribosomal RNA (291 nucleotides) under uncultured prokaryote. RNAcentral describes it as "partial 16S ribosomal RNA". It matches the Rfam family "Bacterial small subunit ribosomal RNA", at positions 524 to 820 of the family's 1533-position model. The record is from RNAcentral.